CUCGGAUCAGGUAGGAAUACCCGCUGAACUUAAGCAUAUCAA
This 42-nucleotide ribosomal RNA is filed under the name Trichophyton mentagrophytes. Its description in RNAcentral is "partial 28S ribosomal RNA". Lineage: Eukaryota; Fungi; Ascomycota; Eurotiomycetes; Onygenales; Arthrodermataceae. The record is from RNAcentral.